RNAcentral lists this ribosomal RNA (253 nucleotides) under uncultured bacterium. RNAcentral describes it as "partial 16S ribosomal RNA". It matches the Rfam family "Bacterial small subunit ribosomal RNA", at positions 524 to 776 of the family's 1533-position model. The record is from RNAcentral.
UACGUAGGGUGCGAGCGUUAAUCGGAAUUACUGGGCGUAAAGUGUGCGCAGGUGGCCGCGCAAGUCGAGUGUGAAAUCCCCGAGCUUAACUUGGGAAUUGCGCUCGAAACUACGUGGCUGGAGUGUGGCAGAGGAAGGUGGAAUUCCACGUGUAGCGGUGAAAUGCGUAGAGAUGUGGAGGAACACCAAUGGCGAAGGCAGCCUUCUGGGCCAACACUGACGCUCAUGCACGAAAGCGUGGGGAGCAAACAGG